RNAcentral lists this ribosomal RNA (393 nucleotides) under uncultured bacterium. RNAcentral's name for it is "partial 16S ribosomal RNA". It matches the Rfam family "Bacterial small subunit ribosomal RNA", at positions 523 to 918 of the family's 1533-position model. The record is from RNAcentral.
AUACGGAGGAUGCAAGCGUUAUCCGGAUUUAUUGGGUUUAAAGGGUGCGUAGGCGGUUUGCUAAGCGGGAGGUGAAAUGCCGGCGCUCAACGUCGGAAGUGCCUCCCGAACUGGUGGACUUGAAUGACUCUGCCGUGGGAGGAAUGUGUAGUGUAGCGGUGAAAUGCUUAGAGAUUACACAGAACACCGAUUGCGAAGGCAUCUCACGAAGGGUUGAUUGACGCUGAGGCACGAAAGCGUGGGGAUCAAACAGGAUUAGAUACCCUGGUAGUCCACGCAGUAAACGAUGAUGGCUAACCGCUGGUUUAUUCGGAUCAGUGGCCAAGCGAAAGCGAUAAGCCAUCCACCUGGGGAGUACGACCGCAAGGUUGAAACUCAAAGGAAUGGACGGGG